GCUACACAUGCAGUCGAGCGGCAGCGGAAGUAGCUUGCUACUUUGCCGGCGAGCGGCGGACGGGUGAGUAAUGUCUGGGAAACUGCCUGAUGGAGGGGGAUAACUACUGGAAACGGUAGCUAAUACCGCAUGACCUCGAAAGAGCAAAGUGGGGGAUCUUCGGACCUCACGCCAUCGGAUGUGCCCAGAUGGGAUUAGCUAGUAGGUGAGGUAAUGGCUCACCUAGGCGACGAUCCCUAGCUGGUCUGAGAGGAUGACCAGCCACACUGGAACUGAGACACGGUCCAGACUCCUACGGGAGGCAGCAGUGGGGAAUAUUGCACAAUGGGCGCAAGCCUGAUGCAGCCAUGCCGCGUGUGUGAAGAAGGCCUUAGGGUUGUAAAGCACUUUCAGCGAGGAGGAAGGCAUCACACUUAAUACGUGUGNUGAUUGACGUUACUCGCAGAAGAAGCACCGGCUAACUCCGUGCCAGCAGCCGCGGUAAUACGGAGGGUGCAAGCGUUAAUCGGAAUUACUGGGCGUAAAGCGCACGCAGGCGGUUUGUUAAGUCAGAUGUGAAAUCCCCGCGCUUAACGUGGGAACUGCAUUUGAAACUGGCAAGCUAGAGUCUUGUAGAGGGGGGUAGAAUUCCAGGUGUAGCGGUGAAAUGCGUAGAGAUCUGGAGGAAUACCGGUGGCGAAGGCGGC
RNAcentral lists this ribosomal RNA (686 nucleotides) under bacterium ocme08sprp773. Its description in RNAcentral is "bacterial SSU rRNA". It matches the Rfam family "Bacterial small subunit ribosomal RNA", at positions 48 to 725 of the family's 1533-position model. The record is from RNAcentral.